Molecule: ribosomal RNA, 117 nt
Organism: Sinocyclocheilus rhinocerous
Lineage: Eukaryota; Metazoa; Chordata; Actinopteri; Cypriniformes; Cyprinidae
Source: Ensembl
UGCCACAGCCAUAUCACCCUGCAGCCCAAGACUGGUUGCCCACUGAAGCUAAGCAGGGUUGAGCCUGAUCAGUACCUGGAUGGGCAACCUCCUGGGAAAACUAGGUUGCUGUUGGAA